UGGGGAAUUUUGGACAAUGGGCGCAAGCCUGAUCCGGCCAUGCCGCGUGCGGGAAGAAGGCCUUCGGGUUGUAAACCGCUUUUGUCAGGGAAGAAAUCUUCUGAGUUAAUACCUCGGGAGGAUGACGGUACCUGAAGAAUAAGCACCGGCUAACUACGUGCCAGCAGCCGCGGUAAAUACGUAGGGUGCAAGCGUUAAUCGGAAUUACUGGGCGUAAAGCGUGCGCAGGCGGUUUUGUAAGACAGAGGUGAAAUCCCCGGGCUCAACCUGGGAACUGCCUUUGUGACUGCAAGGCUUGAGUGCGGCAGAGGGGGAUGGAAUUCCGCGUGUAGCAGUGAAAUGCGUAGAUAUGCGGAGGAACACCGAUGGCGAAGGCAAUCCCCUGGGCCUGCACUGACGCUCAUGCACGAAAGCGUGGGGAGCAAACAGGAUUAGAUACCCUGGUAGUCCACGCCCUAAAACGAUGUCAACUGGUUGUUGGGAAGGUUCCUUCUCAGUAACGUAGCUAACGCGUGAAGUUGACCGCCUGGGGAGUACGGCCGCAAGGUUG
This 550-nucleotide ribosomal RNA is filed under the name uncultured bacterium. RNAcentral describes it as "partial 16S ribosomal RNA". It matches the Rfam family "Bacterial small subunit ribosomal RNA", at positions 355 to 896 of the family's 1533-position model. The record is from RNAcentral.